AUGCCAGAUAAAACUUUUAUCAGUGUUUGUCUGAUUCAUGGGAGGCCAACAUUAAUGAUGAGAGUUUCGCUGAUAGCACCUUCUUGUUUAUUCCAGGAGGUGUUUAAUAGUAGCUUGUCAUACACAG
RNAcentral lists this small nucleolar RNA (127 nucleotides) under Macleaya cordata. Lineage: Eukaryota; Viridiplantae; Streptophyta; Magnoliopsida; Ranunculales; Papaveraceae. The record is from RNAcentral.